UACGUAGGGAGCGAGCGUUGUCCGGAUUUAUUGGGCGUAAAGGGCGCGUAGGCGGUUCGGUAAGUCGGAUGUUAAAUCUCCAAGCUCAACUUGGAGCUGUCAUCCGAAACUGCUGUGACUAGAGUCUGGUAGGGGAACACGGAAUACCUGGUGUAGCGGUGAAAUGCUUAGAUAUCAGGUGGAACACCAGUGGCGAAGGCGGUGUUCUGGGCCAGUACUGACGCUGAUGCGCGAAAGCUAGGGGAGCAAACAGG
RNAcentral lists this ribosomal RNA (254 nucleotides) under uncultured bacterium. RNAcentral describes it as "partial 16S ribosomal RNA". It matches the Rfam family "Bacterial small subunit ribosomal RNA", at positions 524 to 776 of the family's 1533-position model. The record is from RNAcentral.